RNAcentral lists this long non-coding RNA (1732 nucleotides) under Equus asinus (donkey). Its description in RNAcentral is "lncRNA (ENSEASG00005035889.1)". The record is from RNAcentral. Lineage: Eukaryota; Metazoa; Chordata; Mammalia; Perissodactyla; Equidae.
GGUUUUCUUACUGUUGAGUUUGAAGAGUUCUUUGUGUAUUUUAGUUAAUAAUCCUUUACACAUGUCUUUUUUUUUUUUUAAGAUUGACAUCUGAGCUAAUAACUGUUGCCAAUCUUUUUUUUUUUCUCUUUUUCUUCCGAAAUCCCCCUAGAAUGUAGUUGUAUAUUUUCGUUGUGGGUCCUUCUGGUUGUGCUAUGUGGGAUGCCACCUCAAUGUGGCCUGACGAGCGGCGCCAUGUCCAUGCCCAGGAUCCGAACCAGCGAAACCCUGGGCUGCCAAAGCAGAGCACGCGAACUUAACCACUCGGCCACGGGGCCAGCCCCCAUAGGUUAAGUAUGGGUAAAGGAAAUGUAUGUGGGUGCCAUGCUGACACAUGAUGAAGCCGUCACAGCGAUCAGUGAUGUAAGCGAUGAGUUCUUUAGUGAGUAUCAUUGUGUUGAUGGCCAAUGCAGCUUCCCUCAGCAUCAUCCUGCCCAUGGAGGGCCUGGGGUAAUGGGGAUCCCAAUGGUCCCUUCCCACAGUUCAGUCGGAACCAACUGAGUCUUUUAUGGCCAGGAAGGAAGUCUCCUAGCCCCCACACCACCAGGGCCAUGAGAGCUGCGGCCGCCAUCCCUUCCAAGAUGGAUGAGGUGUCUCAGGACCUUUCUGCUCACCUCUGAGAAGGAGGCCUGUCCUAGGGAGCAGGUGUGGAUCUGGUCAGGCCUCUUUGCUUCAUACCAUGCAGGACUGACACCUGACCCUUCUAAGUCAGCACCUUUCUUUUUUUUUUUUUUUUUUUUAAAGAUUUUAUUUUUUCCUUUUUCUCCCCAAAGCCCCCCAGUACAUAGUUGUAUAUUUCUCGUUGUGGUUUCUUCUAGUUGUGGUAUGUGGGACGCUGCCUCAGCGUGGUCUGACGAGCAGUGCCAUGUCCGCGCCCAGGAUUCGAACCAACGAAACACUGGGACACCUGCAGCGGAGCGCGCGAACUUAACCACUCGGCCACGGGGCCAGCCCCCUAAGUCAGCACCUUUCUGAUACCUACUAUGGGGCUUUAAGAAUGGUUAGUGGUUACUUUGGGGGGGGCAUACUGAGUAGGAGGGACAUGGGGAGCCAGCUAGGCAGCUGGAGAUGACCUGAACAUCUUGAUCUGGUAGGUGGUUCCACAGAGCCAUACACGUGUAAAAAUUUUAUUGAGCUGUUUAAAAAGAUAUGUGUAAUUUGAAAUGUGUAUUUUUAAACUCAAUUUAAAAAUAUUAUUUUAAAAUAAUUUUUCUAAGGAUGAAAAGAGGCCAAAGUAGGUAGUGCUUUAAAAGCAAGUGCUUCCGGUGGUGAUGGUUGCAGGACCUUACAAAUAUACUGAAAACCACCCAUUAUAUACUUAAAAUGGUAAAUUUUGGGGUGUUUGAGUAAUAUCUCAAUUAAAAAUUCCCACCAAAGUGACUCUGUGAUCUUUGCAAGUUGUUUAGCUUCUCUGAGCCUCAUAUUAUUCAUCCUAAACCCAGCUUGUUUUCUUACUAUGUCAGAGAAGGGGGAAUGGAUAUUGGCGACAAUUACCGUCUUGACUCUAAGUGGCCUGGAAGGUCUGGACCAAGCCCACCUUUCCGAUGACUCUCAGCAUCAUAACCCCCUGUUCUGUAGUCUGUGCACGAACCUUCUGAGAGUUCCUCUAGUGCGACCUGCUCCCUCCGCCCAGGACGCCCCCUCACCUGGUGAAAUCCUAUUCAGCCUUCAGGUCUCAGGGCAAGCAGGGCUU